This 306-nucleotide long non-coding RNA is filed under the name Carica papaya (papaya). RNAcentral describes it as "long non-coding RNA (CPAP_LNC003498)". Lineage: Eukaryota; Viridiplantae; Streptophyta; Magnoliopsida; Brassicales; Caricaceae. The record is from RNAcentral.
AAAAAAUUGCAUGUUUUCUUUUUGUAACAUUCUUCUUCAGCUGCUGCCGAUUGCCAUCCAUCGGUCAUCGGCUGCCCCCUGCCAAAUAACCUGUAGACCGCCAUCUGCAGCAUUUGGUAGUGGCCGUUCUUCCGCCGUCCAGCUAGCUGGCCUUUAUUAUCCAUUGGUCACUUCCCCCUCCCACCUGCGGGUCGCUAUCCUGUAGCUUGUCACCCCAAUGUCGUUCGCCAGCCCUCAUACUGAUUGCUCUUCCUCCGCUGUCCACUGGGCCCCUCACCAAUUAUUACAAAUUUAAACAAUAUUCAG